UACGUAGGCAGCAAGCGUUGUUCGGAGUUACUGGGCGUAAAGGGUGUGUAUGCGGUUUUUUAAGUUUGGGGUGAAAUCUCCCGGCUCAACUGGGAGGGUGCGCCGAAUACUGAAAGACUAGAGUGCGGGAGAGGAAAGUGGAAUUCCUGGUGUAGCGGUGAAAUGCGUAGAUAUCAGGAGGAACACCGGUGGUGUAGACGGCUUUCUGGACCGUAACUGACGCUGAGACACGAAAGCGUGGGUAGCAAACAGG
RNAcentral lists this ribosomal RNA (253 nucleotides) under uncultured bacterium. RNAcentral describes it as "partial 16S ribosomal RNA". It matches the Rfam family "Bacterial small subunit ribosomal RNA", at positions 524 to 776 of the family's 1533-position model. The record is from RNAcentral.